CCUACGUGAGGCAGCAGUGAGGAAUAUUGGUCAAUGGGCGCGAGCCUGAACCAGCCAAGUAGCGUGAAGGAUGACUGCCCUACGGGUUGUAAACUUCUUUUAUAAAGGAAUAAAGUGAGGCACGUGUGCCUUUUUGUAUGUACUUUCUGAAUAAGGAUCGGCUAACUCCGUGCCAGCAGCUGCGGUAAUACGGAGGAUCCGAGCGUUAUCCGGAUUUAUUGGGUUUAAAGGGAGCGUAGAUGGGUUGUUAAGUCAGUUGUGAAAGUUUGCGGCUCAACCGUAAAAUUUCAAUUGAUACUGGCAGUCUUGAGUACAGUUGAGGUAGGCGGAAUUCGUGGUGUAGCGGUGAAAUGCUUAGAUAUCACGAAGAACUCCGAUUGCGAAGGCAGCUUACUAAACUGCCACUGACAUUGAUGCUCGAAAGUGUGGGUAUCAAACAGGAUUAGAUACCCUUGUAGUC
Molecule: ribosomal RNA, 460 nt
Filed under: uncultured bacterium
Lineage: Bacteria
Description: partial 16S ribosomal RNA
Rfam family: Bacterial small subunit ribosomal RNA
Source: RNAcentral